GGUUAAGCGACUAAGCGUACACGGUGGAUGCCCUGGCAGUCAGAGGCGAUGAAGGACGUGCUAAUCUGCGAUAAGCGUCGGUAAGGUGAUAUGAACCGUUAUAACCGGCGAUUUCCGAAUGGGGAAACCCAGUGUGUUUCGACACACUAUCAUUAACUGAAUCCAUAGGUUAAUGAGGCGAACCGGGGGAACUGAAACAUCUAAGUACCCCGAGGAAAAGAAAUCAACCGAGAUUCCCCCAGUAGCGGCGAGCGAACGGGGAGCAGCCCAGAGCCUGAAUCAGUAUGUGUGUUAGUGGAAGCGUCUGGAAAGGCGCGCGAUACAGGGUGACAGCCCCGUACACAAAAAUGCACAUGCUGUGAGCUCGAUGAGUAGGGCGGGACACGUGGUAUCCUGUCUGAAUAUGGGGGGACCAUCCUCCAAGGCUAAAUACUCCUGACUGACCGAUAGUGAACCAGUACCGUGAGGGAAAGGCGAAAAGAACCCCGGCGAGGGGAGUGAAAAAGAACCUGAAACCGUGUACGUACAAGCAGUGGGAGCACGCUUAGGCGUGUGACUGCGUACCUUUUGUAUAAUGGGUCAGCGACUUAUAUUCUGUAGCAAGGUUAACCGAAUAGGGGAGCCGAAGGGAAACCGAGUCUUAACUGGG
RNAcentral lists this ribosomal RNA (649 nucleotides) under Escherichia coli. RNAcentral describes it as "partial 23S ribosomal RNA". It matches the Rfam family "Bacterial large subunit ribosomal RNA", at positions 1 to 692 of the family's 2925-position model. Lineage: Bacteria; Pseudomonadati; Pseudomonadota; Gammaproteobacteria; Enterobacterales; Enterobacteriaceae. The record is from RNAcentral.